UACGUAGGGUGCAAGCGUUGUCCGGAAUUAUUGGGCGUAAAGAGCUCGUAGGCGGUCUGUCGCGUCGGCUGUGAAAACUCGGGGCUCAACUCCGAGCUUGCAGUCGAUACGGGCAGGCUAGAGUUCGGCAGGGGAGACUGGAAUUCCUGGUGUAGCGGUGAAAUGCGUAGAUAUCAGGAGGAACACCGAUGGCGAAGGCAGGUCUCUGGGCUGACACUGACCGCUCAUGCACGAAAGCGUGGGGAGCAAACAGG
RNAcentral lists this ribosomal RNA (254 nucleotides) under uncultured bacterium. RNAcentral describes it as "partial 16S ribosomal RNA". It matches the Rfam family "Bacterial small subunit ribosomal RNA", at positions 524 to 776 of the family's 1533-position model. The record is from RNAcentral.